GGGUUGUGAGGUUAAGCGACUAAGCGUACACGGUGGAUGCCCUGGCAGUCAGAGGCGAUGAAGGACGUGCUAAUCUGCGAUAAGCGUCGGUAAGGUGAUAUGAACCGUUAUAACCGGCGAUUUCCGAAUGGGGAAACCCAGUGUGUUUCGACACACUAUCAUUAACUGAAUCCAUAGGUUAAUGAGGCGAACCGGGGGAACUGAAACAUCUAAGUACCCCGAGGAAAAGAAAUCAACCGAGAUUCCCCCAGUAGCGGCGAGCGAACGGGGAGCAGCCCAGAGCCUGAAUCAGUGUGUGUGUUAGUGGAAGCGUCUGGAAAGGCGUGCGAUACAGGGUGACAGCCCCGUACACAAAAAUGCACAUGUUGUGAGCUCGAUGAGUAGGGCGGGACACGUGGUAUCCUGUCUGAAUAUGGGGGGACCAUCCUCCAAGGCUAAAUACUCCUGACUGACCGAUAGUGAACCAGUACCGUGAGGGAAAGGCGAAAAGAACCCCGGCGAGGGGAGUGAAAAAGAACCUGAAACCGUGUACGUACAAGCAGUGGGAGCACGCUUAGGCGUGUGACUGCGUACCUUUUGUAUAAUGGGUCAGCGACUUAUAUUCUGUAGCAAGGUUAACCGAAUAGGGGAGCCGAAGGGAAACCGAGUCUUAACUGGGCGUUAAGUUGCAGGGUAUAGACCCGAAACCCGGUGAUCUAGCCAUGGGCAGGUUGAAGGUUGGGUAACACUAACUGGAGGACCGAACCGACUAAUGUUGAAAAAUUAGCGGAUGACUUGUGGCUGGGGGUGAAAGGCCAAUCAAACCGGGAGAUAGCUGGUUCUCCCCGAAAGCUAUUUAGGUAGCGCCUCGUGAAUUCAUCUCCGGGGGUAGAGCACUGUUUCGGCAAGGGGGUCAUCCCGACUUACCAACCCGAUGCAAACUGCGAAUACCGGAGAAUGUUAUCACGGGAGACACACGGCGGGUGCUAACGUCCGUCGUGAAGAGGGAAACAACCCAGACCGCCAGCUAAGGUCCCAAAGUCAUGGUUAAGUGGGAAACGAUGUGGGAAGGCCCAGACAGCCAGGAUGUUGGCUUAGAAGCAGCCAUCAUUUAAAGAAAGCGUAAUAGCUCACUGGUCGAGUCGGCCUGCGCGGAAGAUGUAACGGGGCUAAACCAUGCACCGAAGCUGCGGCAGCGACGCUUAUGCGUUGUUGGGUAGGGGAGCGUUCUGUAAGCCUGUGAAGGUGUACUGUGAGGUAUGCUGGAGGUAUCAGAAGUGCGAAUGCUGACAUAAGUAACGAUAAAGCGGGUGAAAAGCCCGCUCGCCGGAAGACCAAGGGUUCCUGUCCAACGUUAAUCGGGGCAGGGUGAGUCGACCCCUAAGGCGAGGCCGAAAGGCGUAGUCGAUGGGAAACAGGUUAAUAUUCCUGUACUUGGUGUUACUGCGAAGGGGGGACGGAGAAGGCUAUGUUGGCCGGGCGACGGUUGUCCCGGUUUAAGCGUGUAGGCUGGUUUUCCAGGCAAAUCCGGAAAAUCAAGGCUGAGGCGUGAUGACGAGGCACUACGGUGCUGAAGCAACAAAUGCCCUGCUUCCAGGAAAAGCCUCUAAGCAUCAGGUAACAUCAAAUCGUACCCCAAACCGACACAGGUGGUCAGGUAGAGAAUACCAAGGCGCUUGAGAGAACUCGGGUGAAGGAACUAGGCAAAAUGGUGCCGUAACUUCGGGAGAAGGCACGCUGAUAUGUAGGUGAAGUCCCUCGCGGAUGGAGCUGAAAUCAGUCGAAGAUACCAGCUGGCUGCAACUGUUUAUUAAAAACACAGCACUGUGCAAACACGAAAGUGGACGUAUACGGUGUGACGCCUGCCCGGUGCCGGAAGGUUAAUUGAUGGGGUUAGCGCAAGCGAAGCUCUUGAUCGAAGCCCCGGUAAACGGCGGCCGUAACUAUAACGGUCCUAAGGUAGCGAAAUUCCUUGUCGGGUAAGUUCCGACCUGCACGAAUGGCGUAAUGAUGGCCAGGCUGUCUCCACCCGAGACUCAGUGAAAUUGAACUCGCUGUGAAGAUGCAGUGUACCCGCGGCAAGACGGAAAGACCCCGUGAACCUUUACUAUAGCUUGACACUGAACAUUGAGCCUUGAUGUGUAGGAUAGGUGGGAGGCUUUGAAGUGUGGACGCCAGUCUGCAUGGAGCCGACCUUGAAAUACCACCCUUUAAUGUUUGAUGUUCUAACGUUGACCCGUGAUCCGGGUUGCGGACAGUGUCUGGUGGGUAGUUUGACUGGGGCGGUCUCCUCCUAAAGAGUAACGGAGGAGCACGAAGGUUGGCUAAUCCUGGUCGGACAUCAGGAGGUUAGUGCAAUGGCAUAAGCCAGCUUGACUGCGAGCGUGACGGCGCGAGCAGGUGCGAAAGCAGGUCAUAGUGAUCCGGUGGUUCUGAAUGGAAGGGCCAUCGCUCAACGGAUAAAAGGUACUCCGGGGAUAACAGGCUGAUACCGCCCAAGAG
This 2481-nucleotide ribosomal RNA is filed under the name Escherichia coli. Its description in RNAcentral is "bacterial LSU rRNA". It matches the Rfam family "Bacterial large subunit ribosomal RNA", at positions 1 to 2498 of the family's 2925-position model. Lineage: Bacteria; Pseudomonadati; Pseudomonadota; Gammaproteobacteria; Enterobacterales; Enterobacteriaceae. The record is from RNAcentral.